GGUGAGUAACACGUGGAUAACCUACCUAUAAGACUGGGAUAACUUCGGGAAACCGGAGCUAAUACCGGAUAAUAUUUUAAACCGCAUGGUUCAAAAGUGAAAGACGGUCUUGCUGUCACUUAUAGAUGGAUCCGCGCUGCAUUAGCUAGUUGGUAAGGUAACGGCUUACAAGGCAACGAUGCAUAGCCGACCUGAGAGGGUGAUCGGCCACACUGGAACUGAGACACAGUCCAG
This 234-nucleotide ribosomal RNA is filed under the name uncultured Staphylococcus sp. Its description in RNAcentral is "partial 16S ribosomal RNA". It matches the Rfam family "Bacterial small subunit ribosomal RNA", at positions 105 to 334 of the family's 1533-position model. The record is from RNAcentral. Lineage: Bacteria; Bacillati; Bacillota; Bacilli; Caryophanales; Staphylococcaceae.